RNAcentral lists this transfer RNA (92 nucleotides) under Candidatus Moranbacteria bacterium CG23_combo_of_CG06-09_8_20_14_all_39_10. RNAcentral's name for it is "tRNA-Ser". It matches the Rfam family "tRNA". From Rfam's summary of the family: Transfer RNA (tRNA) molecules are approximately 80 nucleotides in length. Their secondary structure includes four short double-helical elements and three loops (D, anti-codon, and T loops). Lineage: Bacteria; Candidatus Moraniibacteriota. The record is from RNAcentral.
GGAGAAGUCGCAUAGCCCGGUCGAGUGCGGCACACUGCUAACGUGCUGACCUGUAAAAAGGUCCGUGGGUUCGAAUCCCACCUUCUCCGCCA